GUGACCCCCAGGAAGGAGACAUCCAAGGAGCUGCAGUGGAAAGAGCUGUGUUUAUUACUAGUUGCAGCAAGGAAGAGCACACACCAUGGAGAACUGUGGGGCGCCUCAGUCAGAAGGUGUUAGAGAAGACUUAGCAUAGAAAUUGGGCUUGUGUUAGGGGAUUUGGGAGGGUCUGCAGAAGUGGGCUUCAGCUCUUUACUAGAUGCUAUCAGGAAGAUGGGAGGGGGGUUAAUCUUGUGAGUGGGAACUUUAAUCAAUCUUUUGUAGGAAGGAGUCUAGGGCCAGACUAAAGAUCUAAUUGGUAAAAGAGCAGCAGUCCCUUAUUGCCAGUGUCGGGUGCUUGGCUAUUGUUGUAGUUUGGGCAAUGUUCAUAUUUCUCUCUGAUCAGAGAUAGCUCCCUCUUUUCCUGUUUUUGGGUUAGGGGUGAGUGGUAAUAGCCCCACUGUUUCUGGCCCUGGGGCACUGCACUAGCCCACGUAGCUUUUCCCCUCACUGUGACCACACUAUUGCAAACAGCUCCUGAGUGAAAUCCUCCUUGAAUGGUCUAAUGUGAGUGUGUUGUUGAUUCUUGUUGAGACUCUCCCUGAUGCUGGAGGCUCCUACAAAUUUAGACUGAUUUAUCCUUCCACAGCACUGGGUGCUGAUCUUCACUUGGAAAUGAAGGGUUAUGAGGAUGGAGGGAUCCAUCUGGAGUGCAGAUCCACCGGCUGGUACCCCCAGCCCCACGUCCAGUGGAGAGAUGCCAAAGGGGAGGUCAUCCCAGCUGUGGCAGCACCUGUGGUUGCAGACGAAGUGGGCCUGUAUGCAAUGGCAGCGUCAGUGAUCAUGAGAGGAAGCUCCGGGGAGGGGGUAUCCUGUACCAUCAGAAAUUCCCUCCUCCAGCAGGAAAAGACAGCCAGGAUUUCCGUCGCAGACCCCUUCUUCAGGAGCGCCCAACCCUGGAUCGCCGCCCUGGCAGGGAGCCUGCCCAUCUUGCUGCUGCUUCUUGCUGUGGCGGGUUACUUCUUGUGGCGACAACAAGAGGAAAAAAAGACUCUGUUGAGGGAGAAAGAGAGAGAGCAAGAGAUGAGAGAAUUGGCACGGAGUGCAACAGAGCAGGAACAAAACAUAAGAGGUAUCUGGCCCCACGAGGAAAUCUAAGUGCCUGGGUUACAGGCCUGAGCCCAGAGACCUCACCCACAUCCCCACCUUCACACUGGGUGGUUUUUAAGGUUUGUUGUCCAGAAAAUCCUCUCUCCCAUAACACUUCAUUAUGUUUUCUGUUUAUUUUCCAGAGAAACUCACGGAAGAACUCAGUAAGUUACCAUUUCUCCAGACACCUAAGCAUGUCUUCCUAUCCCUGCUUUACGUACCUUGAUGACUCUUCCUUGUUUAUUCCAUUUCAGAGUGGAGAAAAAUCCAGUACAUGGCUCGUGAGUGGCUCUGGCAUUUUCUUUCCAAUUAUCACUUAUGACUCUCUCUGCUUGGAUAUUUUCCAACCCUUAACUCUGCCCAGGCUUGGGGAAUGGCUGUGGUCCCUGUGACAGGGAAAGAAAAUAAGUGUGGGUCAUGGAGAAACCCCCAGAAGGAGAGUAUUUCUCAUUCUCUCUCUCAGAAAAAGGAGGCCUUCAAUUUCCCUCCACUGAGGCCUACAAACUUUUUAGUCCUGAGAGACACUAAGGAAUAUCCAGGGGUGCACUUGAGAAGAAAGGGGGAAGAGGUGGAUGAGGUGCCUUGUCUAUGCCAGGAACCUGACUAAUUGCUUUACAAAAUUGAUAUGCUGUUGAGGAAAUAAGAAAAAUGGGAGAUUAUAAGGAAUGAGAAGAUCAGAAAAGAAGGAGGGAGAAAAGUGUUCCUCAUAUACAGAAGUAGGUACAGUGGCUCAGUUGGUAUAGAUUUAUUGUAACUACUUUCAAAAAUUAGUCCCUGAAAUUUCUCAUUAAGUUUCCCAGAUGAUUUUCAGAAGAAGGUAGGAAAGAAUACAGAUAGAUACAGAUGUAUAUACAUACAUACACACUUACAGACAUGGUGACAGCAAUACCCAAGUAUGGGAAUAUAGAUACAUACUGAAUAGAUCAGCUGGACCACAUCAGGAAGGUAAUAACACACUGCCUGUGGUGUCACUAGUGUGAUAUUCCUGGAUGUGAUAUGAAUGAAGAGAGGGAGGAGAGAAUUGAACAUGCAGAGGGAGAAGGUAGGGAAGAGUGGAGUGGUUAAAAAGAAGAUUAGAUGGAUGUAAAAAGAAGGCAGAAGGGCAGAGUUCACGUGACAUCUCUACCUUUCUUUCAUUGCAGUUGGUGGGAAUUCUCCAGCCUAUCAUGGUGAGUGACACUCAUGUUCUCUGAGUUUCCUGGGACACGUGCCCUGAGUGUUCCAGCCUUUUCUCUACUGUCACCCAUUGACAUUCUCACUUGGAAUAAUCAGAUCUAACUCAAAGGCUCAUUUUCAGUAGGGGCUUCCACUUCUGCUUUUCAGGAGCCUCUGAGAGAAGCCUGAGGCUGCUGGCACUCAUGCACACACCCUAGCAAACCCUGGCCAUGCUUCUGGUAGCCCCUCCUGACAGAGGGAAGGGAGCCCACCAUUUUGUACAAGUUGCCACUCAAGAAAAGGAGAGAGAAAAGACUGAGUGAGAAGAAUGGGAUGGGAAGAAUAGAAAUAUUGACCUUUUUCUUAUCUAUGUCUGCUUCCUUUCAGAAUGGAAAGUGGCCCUCUUCAAGCUGGUGAGUAAAAUCACUGUUGUUCCCUAGGCCAACAGCCUGGAGGACCAGAUCC
Microcebus murinus (gray mouse lemur) is the source of this 2751-nucleotide long non-coding RNA. Lineage: Eukaryota; Metazoa; Chordata; Mammalia; Primates; Cheirogaleidae. The record is from Ensembl.